This 253-nucleotide ribosomal RNA is filed under the name uncultured bacterium. RNAcentral describes it as "partial 16S ribosomal RNA". It matches the Rfam family "Bacterial small subunit ribosomal RNA", at positions 524 to 776 of the family's 1533-position model. The record is from RNAcentral.
UACAGAGGGUGCGAGCGUUGUUCGGAUUUACUGGGCGUAAAGGGCGCGUAGGCGGCCCUCCUAGUCGCGUGUGAAAGCCCCGGGCUCAACCUGGGAACGGCGCGCGAAACGGGGGGGCUGGAGUUCGGGAGAGGAGCGUGGAAUUCCCAGUGUAGAGGUGAAAUUCGUAGAUAUUGGGAAGAACACCGGUGGCGAAGGCGGCGACCUGGUCCAUUACUGACGCUGAGGCGCGACAGCGUGGGGAGCAAACAGG